UGUAUAAGACAACUGAAAGGGCCAGUCGCAUAGACCACACAACUGCUGUUGCAACAGUAGAGUAGACUUCAGCAGGGAUGUUAUUCACAUUAUACACAUCCACAUGCACAAUCUGUUGAUGCAACUUCCUCCAAACAUCAUUCCAGCAAUCUAUCGGCAUCCGGUCAACAAUAUGACGCUUGAAAACAAUAUCUUUUCUAUUUUCCCCUCCUGUCACAAGCUGUUGAUGCAACUUCCUCCAAACAUCAUUCCAGCAAUCUAUCGGCAUCCGGUCAACAACAUGACGCUUGAAAACAAUCUCCUUUCUAUUUUCCCCUCCAGAGCCUUUUGUUUUU
This 335-nucleotide long non-coding RNA is filed under the name Nicotiana benthamiana. RNAcentral describes it as "long non-coding RNA (NBEN_LNC026483)". The record is from RNAcentral. Lineage: Eukaryota; Viridiplantae; Streptophyta; Magnoliopsida; Solanales; Solanaceae.